AACGAACGCUGGCGGCAGGCCUAACACAUGCAAGUCGAGCGGACCCUUCGGGGUUAGCGGCGGACGGGUGAGUAACGCGUGGGAACGUGCCCUUUGCUUCGGAAUAGCCCGGGGAAACUGGGAGUAAUACCGGAUACGCCCUUUUGGGGAAAGAUUGAUCGGCGAAGGAUCGGCCCGCGUUGGAUUAGGUAGGUGGUGGGGUAAUGGCCUACCAAGCCGACGAUCCAUAGCUGGUUUGAGAGGAUGAUCAGCCACACUGGGACUGAGACACGGCCCAGACUCCUACGGGAGGCAGCAGUGGGGAAUCUUAGACAAUGGGGGAAACCCUGAUCUAGCCAUGCCGCGUGAGCGAUGAAGGCCUUAGGGUUGUAAAGCUCUUUCACCGGGGAAGAUAAUGACGGUACCCGGAGAAGAAGCCCCGGCUAACUCCGUG
RNAcentral lists this ribosomal RNA (433 nucleotides) under uncultured bacterium. RNAcentral's name for it is "partial 16S ribosomal RNA". It matches the Rfam family "Bacterial small subunit ribosomal RNA", at positions 29 to 507 of the family's 1533-position model. The record is from RNAcentral.